Long non-coding RNA from Dermacentor albipictus, 1093 nucleotides. RefSeq lists it as uncharacterized. The record is from RefSeq and is a predicted model, not a curated record. Lineage: Eukaryota; Metazoa; Arthropoda; Arachnida; Ixodida; Ixodidae.
GGCAGUUUUACGUUUGGACGAGGUUGGCGACGAGCUGCGCAUAUAGAAGGUAACGCAGCCAAGAGCGACUGUCGCCCGGCUCACGCAUUAAAGUUGCAGCAGUCGGUCGGUACCUGCUGGCAGAAGAGGAGAUCUCGUCCCUUGCUGCGGAGCGUCAUCGUUUGCUGCAUUUGUUCGAUAAGAGGCUACCAAGAUGGCUUUUGUGAAGUCGGUCGUUGCAGCCAUAGUGUUGGCGAUGAUUUGCGGUGGCGCACCAGUCGCGGAAGAAAGUUGCAACUUCCUUGACGAACACCUGGAGCGCGCCAUCGACUCCUUCAUUGAAAAGCUUCCGGCAGGGCGCUCCAAGACAUUGGAAAAUGACUUCCCGCCUGAAAUAUCCAAAAACAUUGAAUUCAAACUCUUGGGCCUCAAUUCCCUUCGUCCCUUCGGGCCAUUCUUGACCUUCUGCAGGAAUGAUAGCAGAUUUGUGCAAUUUGAUCUUGUCAACAAGAGGCCCCUGAUUCUCGUGGGAACGCAGACUAACGACACUAAUACCAAUGAAAUUUUGAGUCGCGCUCUGCUGGUACGAUUCACUGGGCAGUUCGAAGUGGAAGGUGCUGGAGAGGACCUGAAGAUCCAUUUCAAAGAAAAUGUGCCCGUAUCCAUGGUCGGACUCACCAUGGUACUGAGGGCUGCAGACACAGAAAAAAAAGAGGAUGCUCGAAUCGUUUUCAGCACACCGAAUCUGCACUUCCUGCUCUCCCUCUGGAACGGCAUGCUUUACGGUGUACUGGAUACACUUUUCACAGAAAUAUUAGGCAAAAAAUAAAGACCUUCAGGUCAGAAAUCAUCACUCGCGUGUUUCAUAUUUUCAAGUUUUUUUUUCUGAAAAAGUCGUAACAUGAGGCACAAUACAUAAGGUGAACGAACGUUAUUAAAUUCAGUCCUGCAUGUCAAGGACCGCUCGACAAUGAAAGCGAAACACUUUUAUGUGUUUUAUUCAAGAGUGUAAUGAAUAUGUUAAAAAAAUCAUGACCCGUUCUGGUCUGUGAAUUUGGAUGACUGAAAACUGUGUAGCAGACGAAUAAACUGGUGACAACGAAUUUGUAACCAA